CAGAAGUGAAAUACAAUGUAUCAAGUGUAUGAGUGUGUCCUCAUUGCACGUCUGUUAUUUGAUGUCGCACCUCAAAUGAUGAGCUGGUGGACUGAGACCAGAUGGGGGGUGAAAUAGGUGGUGACAUGACAGUGUGUUAUCAGAGGACUGAGACCAGAUGGGGGGUGAAAUAGGUGGUGACAUGACAGUGUGUUAUCAGAGGACUGAGACCAGAUGGGGGGUGUAAUAGGUGGUGACAUGACAGUGUGUUAUCAGAGGACUGAGACCAGAUGGGGGGUGAAAUAGGUGGUGACAUGACAGUGUGUUAUCAGAGGACUGAGACCAGAUGGGGGGUGAAAUAGGUGGUGACAUGACAGUGUGUUAUCAGAGGACUGAGACCAGAUGGGGGGGUGUAAUAGGUGGUGACAUGACAGUGUGUUAUCAGAGGACUGAGACCAGAUGGGGGGUGUAAUAGGUGGUGACAUGACAGUGUGUUAUCAGAG
This 482-nucleotide long non-coding RNA is filed under the name Salmo salar (Atlantic salmon). RNAcentral's name for it is "lncRNA (ENSSSAG00000096096.1)". The record is from RNAcentral. Lineage: Eukaryota; Metazoa; Chordata; Actinopteri; Salmoniformes; Salmonidae.